ACAUUUGUGUAUUUUUAUGUCAGAUUUUGUAAAGAAAUAGGUUUUAAGUGAGGUGAAACUUGGAGAAACGCAAGAGAAAUCAGAUUGCUGAAAGGGGUACAGCAGUGCAGAAAGGUUGAGAGCCACUGGCUUACACAGUGCCAAAGCUUUCUCUGU
Non-coding RNA from Chelonoidis abingdonii (Abingdon island giant tortoise), 156 nucleotides. The record is from RefSeq and is a predicted model, not a curated record. NCBI's taxonomy places the organism in Eukaryota, Metazoa, Chordata, Testudines, Testudinidae.